AGCGAACGCUGGCGGCAUGCUUAACACAUGCAAGUCGCACGAACCUUUCGGGGUUAGUGGCGGACGGGUGAGUAACGCGUAGGAAUCUGUCCACGGGUGGGGGAUAACUCUGGGAAACUGGAGCUAAUACCGCAUGAUACCUGAGGGUCAAAGGCGCAAGUCGCCUGUGGAGGAGCCUGCGUUCGAUUAGCUAGUUGGUGGGGUAAAGGCCUACCAAGGCGAUGAUCGAUAGCUGGUUUGAGAGGAUGAUCAGCCACACUGGGACUGUGACACGGCCCAGACUCCUACGGUAGGCAGCAGUGGGGAAUAUUGGACAAUGGGGGCAACCCUGAUCCAGCAAUGCGUCGUAUGUGAAGAAGGUCUUCGGAUUGUAAAGCACUUUCGACGGGGACGAUGAUGACGGUACCCGUAGAAGAAGCCCCGGCUAACUUCGUGCCAGCCGCCGCGGUAA
RNAcentral lists this ribosomal RNA (451 nucleotides) under uncultured bacterium. RNAcentral describes it as "partial 16S ribosomal RNA". It matches the Rfam family "Bacterial small subunit ribosomal RNA", at positions 29 to 523 of the family's 1533-position model. The record is from RNAcentral.